UGGCGAGGUCUCAGAUCUACUGAAAUCCAACUUUACUCAUAAUAUUGCGAGGUCUCUGUCAAUGUUUUUAAAUUUGGAAAGGAGAUGUGAAUGAAAAAAGUGUGAACAAAGGAUGAGUGACAGCCAAAUUUUGAAGUGUAAAAGAGUAGCUCAAAAAACUUUGAAAAUCAACUUUAAAGUAAGUUUAUAUAGUAGAAAUUAGAGUUCUUGAAUCGUUGAGCAGGAAUUUUAAUUUCCUAUUUUGAAAUUAAUCAAUGAUAACCAUUAAAGAACAAACGUUGGGAUUUUUUUAUGUACUUGGCAUUCUUCACGUGAUUGACAUAGCCAUAGAACUAAUAUAGAGUGAAAAUAUCUAUCCAUAUCUAAUGAACAAUGGAGUUUUUUUUAUAAUGG
RNAcentral lists this long non-coding RNA (393 nucleotides) under Solanum tuberosum (potato). RNAcentral describes it as "long non-coding RNA (STUB_LNC001803)". The record is from RNAcentral. Lineage: Eukaryota; Viridiplantae; Streptophyta; Magnoliopsida; Solanales; Solanaceae.